This is a non-coding RNA of Acanthosepion pharaonis, 87 nucleotides long. The record is from the annotation of a GenBank genome assembly. Lineage: Eukaryota; Metazoa; Mollusca; Cephalopoda; Sepiida; Sepiidae.
CGUUCCCGUACGAUCAGCGAAGUUAAGCGAUGUCGAGUUUGUUCAGCACCUAGCUGGGUGACCACUUGGGAAUACCAGGUGCUGUAA